GGUCUCAUCGUCUAGUGGCCUAGGACACCUGGUUCUCAUCCAGGAGAUCGCGGGUUCGACUCCCGCUGAGACCG
This 74-nucleotide transfer RNA is filed under the name Candidatus Berkelbacteria bacterium. RNAcentral describes it as "tRNA-Glu". It matches the Rfam family "tRNA". Rfam says of the family: Transfer RNA (tRNA) molecules are approximately 80 nucleotides in length. Their secondary structure includes four short double-helical elements and three loops (D, anti-codon, and T loops). The record is from RNAcentral. Lineage: Bacteria; Candidatus Berkelbacteria.